Molecule: ribosomal RNA, 253 nt
Filed under: uncultured bacterium
Lineage: Bacteria
Description: partial 16S ribosomal RNA
Rfam family: Bacterial small subunit ribosomal RNA
Source: RNAcentral
GACAGGGGUCUCGAGCGUUAAUCGGAAUCACUGGGCUUAAAGGGUGCGUAGGCGGGCCUGUAAGUGUCCUGUGAAAUCCCCCGGCUCAACCGGGGAACUGCGGGGCAUACUGCGGGUCUUGAGGAAGGUAGGCGCCGAGGGAACAGUAGGUGGAGCGGUGAAAUGCGUAGAUAUCUGGAGGAACACCGGUGGCGAAGGCGGCAUCCUGGACCAAUUCUGACACUGAGGAGCGAAAGCCAGGGGAGCAAACGGG